AUACGGAGGGUGCAAGCGUUGUUCGGAAUUACUGGGCGUAAAGCGCGCGUAGGUGGUCUGUUAUGUCAGAUGUGAAAGUCCACGGCUCAACCGUGGAAGUGCAUUUGAAACUGGCAGACUUGAGUACUGGAGGGGGUAGUGGAAUUCCCGGUGUAGAGGUGAAAUUCGUAGAUAUCGGGAGGAAUACCGGUGGCGAAGGCGACUACCUGGCCAGAUACUGACACUGAGGUGCGAAAGCGUGGGGAGCGAACAGGAUUAGAUACCCCAGUAGUCC
RNAcentral lists this ribosomal RNA (274 nucleotides) under uncultured bacterium. RNAcentral's name for it is "partial 16S ribosomal RNA". It matches the Rfam family "Bacterial small subunit ribosomal RNA", at positions 523 to 796 of the family's 1533-position model. The record is from RNAcentral.